CCUACGGGAGGCUGCAGUGAGGAAUAUUGGUCAAUGGACGAGAGUCUGAACCAGCCAAGUAGCGUGAAGGAUGACUGCCCUAUGGGUUGUAAACUUCUUUUAUAUGGGAAUAAAACGUUCCACGUGUGGGAUUUUGUAUGUACCAUAUGAAUAAGGAUCGGCUAACUCCGUGCCAGCAGCCGCGGUAAUACGGAGGAUCCGAGCGUUAUCCGGUUUUAUUGGGUUUAAAGGGAGCGUAGGUGGAUUGUUAAGUCAGUUGUGAAAGUUUGCGGCUCAACCGUAAAAUUGCAGUUGAAACUGGCAGUCUUGAGUACAGUAGAGGUGGGCGGAAUUCGUGGUGUAGCGGUGAAAUGCUUAGAUAUCACGAAGAACUCCGAUUGCGAAGGCAGUUCACUGGACUGCAACUGACACUGAGGCUCGAAAGUGUGGGUAUCAAACAGGAUUAGAUACCCCUGUAGUC
Molecule: ribosomal RNA, 460 nt
Filed under: uncultured bacterium
Lineage: Bacteria
Description: partial 16S ribosomal RNA
Rfam family: Bacterial small subunit ribosomal RNA
Source: RNAcentral